UACGGAAGGUCCGGGCGUUAUCCGGAUUUAUUGGGUUUAAAGGGAGCGCAGGCGGAGGCUUAAGCGUGACGUGAAAUGUAGCCGCUCAACGGCUGAACUGCGUCGCGAACUGGGUUUCUUGAGUGAGUGCGACGUGUACGGAAUUCGUGGUGUAGCGGUGAAAUGCUUAGAUAUCACGAAGAACCCCGAUUGCGAAGGCAGUGCACGAGCCCUUUACUGACGCUAAUGCUCGAAGGUGCGGGUAUCGAAC
RNAcentral lists this ribosomal RNA (250 nucleotides) under uncultured prokaryote. RNAcentral's name for it is "partial 16S ribosomal RNA". It matches the Rfam family "Bacterial small subunit ribosomal RNA", at positions 524 to 773 of the family's 1533-position model. The record is from RNAcentral.